GGGAAAAAGCAGUUAAGCAGCUUGAGCUGGCUGAAGGGAAUUCCUUCUCUGGCUGUUGAACCAGAAGGUGGAAGAUAAACUCCCUCUCUAUCAUCCGCCUUAUCCAUAAGACUGUGUGCUGAAAAGACUUUUGGGUUUUUAGCCCAGAAGAAACCUGUCACCAUUGCUGUCACAUCUCCUCUUAGGGAAAAAUAACUUUGUUUCCUGAAUUUGAAUAUAUCUUGAAAUCUUCAAUCAACAAGGAUAACUUAGAAAAUUUAGGGAGACCUAUUUUUCUCUCACCCCUGCCCUCUCCUUACCUCCUCUACCCAAAGAAUAAAAGAUCUCUUAGUUUAAAGGAUUUAAUUGUGGGAUUUAGUUAUUAGGGGAAAUCUUCAAGCUUGCCCUCUCUGAGAAGAAUAUUUCUAAGAUAGUUGAAAGGGAACAGGUAGUGUAGGGGGAGAGGCUCAAGAUCCAGUCUUCCCCUAGUUUGCUUCCUGGUGUUACUGCUCUAACAUUUUCCCAUUACCAUAAUUCCCCUAGUAUCAACAUAUACUACAGUGGCUAGGUAAGCUUAAUGAGUGGGGCUGGUUUCAUUCUUUACACUUUUAUCUCCAGGGUCUAAAGCUGUGCCUGUCCUGAUUGAUCCAAGAGAUGUUGCAGAGAUAGAAUGGACGAAACUGAUUAAAUAUAACAAGAACAGAGAAAAAGAAAGAAAACAACAGUGGGCAGGAAAAAAAUUUUGGAGACACCCAAGGUAUGAGGAUUGCCUGUCUCCUCCUUUUCCUCUACACACUGAACUUACGCUCCUGCCUGGCUGCUCAAGAAAAGGAGUGCCUGGCUGGUUGUGGGACAAGGAAGCAAAGAAUUGUAGACAGAAAGUCAUCCCUGGUCUCCUGCCUCUUCAUGGGCUCGUUGUGAUUUCUGCCGUACCUUUUCAGCCUUUAGGCCUGUCUUUAUGACACAUUAUCAGUGUCCGGAUGCAGCAAAAGUGGAGGCUGAGUCUGGCAAGCAAAUACCCUUCCUGUUGGGGCCUUCAGAACCCUUUACAAACAUAAGCAGGAGAGCAAGUGG
Molecule: non-coding RNA, 1053 nt
Organism: Monodelphis domestica (gray short-tailed opossum)
Lineage: Eukaryota; Metazoa; Chordata; Mammalia; Didelphimorphia; Didelphidae
Source: RefSeq, a predicted model, not a curated record